This 68-nucleotide transfer RNA is filed under the name Caecilia gracilis (graceful caecilian). RNAcentral's name for it is "tRNA-His". It matches the Rfam family "tRNA". Rfam says of the family: Transfer RNA (tRNA) molecules are approximately 80 nucleotides in length. Their secondary structure includes four short double-helical elements and three loops (D, anti-codon, and T loops). The record is from RNAcentral. Lineage: Eukaryota; Metazoa; Chordata; Amphibia; Gymnophiona; Caeciliidae.
GUAAAUAUAGUUUAAACAAGACAUUAGAUUGUGACUCUAAAAUUAAAGCCUAAACCCUUUUAUUUACC